ACAGCCAUAUCCCGUUGAAAUAUCGAUUCCAUUAUGAUCACCGAAGUUAAGCAACGUCGAGCCUGGUCAGUACCUGGAAUGGGUGACAGCUUGAGAAUACCAGGUGCUGUUA
This 112-nucleotide ribosomal RNA is filed under the name Acanthosepion pharaonis. The record is from RNAcentral. Lineage: Eukaryota; Metazoa; Mollusca; Cephalopoda; Sepiida; Sepiidae.